Long non-coding RNA from Eriocheir sinensis (Chinese mitten crab), 778 nucleotides. RefSeq lists it as uncharacterized. Lineage: Eukaryota; Metazoa; Arthropoda; Malacostraca; Decapoda; Varunidae. The transcript has 3 exons. The record is from RefSeq and is a predicted model, not a curated record.
GAGGACGUGCUGGUUGUUUUUUUUUUUAAUAUUUGACCUACUUUGUUCAUCUGUUGAGGAAAUGGUGCGAAAGUAUCUUGCAAAAACUGAUCGAGGAAGAGCCGAUGGGAACUUAAUGGAGAGAGCUGUUGACGAAGUUGUCAAAGGAAAGUCCAUCAGGGAAGUUAGUCGUUUGCUGGAUGUAAACCGGAUUACAUUGUCAAGAUAUGUUAAGAAAUUCCAAGCAGGGCAAGCUGAAAAAACAAAAGACUAUGCUCCUAACUACAAUACCAGACAGGUAUUUACUGAAGAAGAAGAAGACGGACUUUCUGAAUAUAUCGUAACUUGCUCCCAGUUGUUUCAUGGCCUUGGCUUGACAGCAGUAAGACGACUUGCAUUUGAAUAUGCAAUGAAGAAAGAUAAAACUUGCCCAGAUUCUUGGAAACAUAACUGUAUGGCAGGAAAGGACUGGAUGGCUGGAUUUAUGAAACGUCAUUGCAAGAUCUCCCUUCGUUUACCAGAGUCAACCAGUGUGGCAAGAGUGCAAGGUUUCAACAAGAAAUCUGUGGGGGAGUUCUUUGAUAUAUGGACCAAAACUCAGGCUGAGAAGAUUUUUGGACCAGAAUCCGUGUACAACCUUGAUGAAACAGGGAUCACUACUGUGCAGAAUGUUCCAAAAAUUUUGGCUACUCGAGGACAAAAGCAAGUUGGACAAAUUGCAGCAGCAGAGAGAGGGACACUCAUUACUGUAUGCUGCUGUGUUAAUGCAAUAGGAAGAAGCCUACCUCCUGUUAUGAUA